UGUCGCCCGGGGUACCUUGUUACGACUUCACCCCAAUCAUCAGCCCCACCUUCGGCAGCGCUCAAUAUCUCUAGCUUAAGCUGCUGACUUCGGGUGUUGCAGACUCUCAUGCUGUGACGGGCGGUGUGUACAAGGCCCGGGAACGUAUUCACGGCAGUAUGGUUGCCUGGCAUUACUAGCAAUUCCGGCUUUAUGUGGGCGAGUUGCAGGCCACAAUUUGAACUGGGACUACUUUUGGGGUAUUUGUUCCCCCUUGCGGGCUCGUUUACCUCUGUUGUAGCCAUUGUAGUACAGUGUGUAGCCCAGGACAUAAAAGGCAUUAUGAUUUUUCGGCGUCCCAUCCUCUGUCGAUUUGUGAGCGGCAAUUUUUUAGGCUGUCCAUCUUAAUUGUUACCACUUAGAAACAUUGUUUUUUUUUUUUU
RNAcentral lists this ribosomal RNA (422 nucleotides) under uncultured bacterium. RNAcentral describes it as "partial 16S ribosomal RNA". The record is from RNAcentral.